UACGUAGGGCGCAAGCGUUGUCCGGAAUUAUUGGGCGUAAAGAGCUCGUAGGCGGCCAGUUGCGUCUGCUGUGAAAUCCCGGGGCUCAACCCCGGGCGUGCAGUGGAUACGGGUUGGCUAGAGGCAGGCAGGGGAGAACGGAAUUCCCGGUGUAGCGGUGAAAUGCGCAGAUAUCGGGAGGAACACCGGUGGCGAAGGCGGUUCUCUGGGCCCGUACUGACGCUGAGGAGCGAAAGCGUGGGGAGCGAACAGG
Molecule: ribosomal RNA, 253 nt
Filed under: uncultured bacterium
Lineage: Bacteria
Description: partial 16S ribosomal RNA
Rfam family: Bacterial small subunit ribosomal RNA
Source: RNAcentral